AAAGAUUGGGGGAUUGGGUGCCUUCUUUUUAAAAAAAAAACACCGUUUCCUCCAG
RNAcentral lists this microRNA precursor (55 nucleotides) under Mus caroli (Ryukyu mouse). RNAcentral describes it as "microRNA 7119 (MGP_CAROLIEiJ_G0007897.1)". The record is from RNAcentral. Lineage: Eukaryota; Metazoa; Chordata; Mammalia; Rodentia; Muridae.